UGGGACACGGCAUGGCGAGCCUUAACCUGUACAGCCUUGACAGCAUUCUUUGAUGUAUCCACCAAACCUUUCGUAAUCGUCCCAAUGAAACCGGGUUGUGAAGUUCCUUGGCCGGUCUCAUCAGGUUGAGGAGACAAACGAAGCCCUAACCCACUUGUAAAUUUCGCAAAGGCGGACUUUUCAUUAUUCUCAACAUCAGAAUCAGUUCUUGCGGAAGAAAAAGGCUGAGGGACUUUCAAACUUUUGGCCCAUGUUGAGAUCCCAGAGGCGGAUAGCUUUGAAGCUACCCCUUUAGGUGAAUCAUCGGUUGUUCCAGCUUCUACAGCAGCAGGAGGAGGGUGACCAUCUGGUGUUCCCGUAGCAGGUGAAUCAGAUGAUGACAUAAUGGUUUCUUUCUAACUCCAAAUCCAAAAAUGUGAGUUUAUCAAUGUUGCAAGUCCUUUUUUUUUCUGCAGGCAUUCAUAUUCAAAAACAAUACAUUUGAGUGAGAUAAUUUAUAAAUCAAACACAAUAACAGAAACUUUAACAUCAAUAUCAAGCUAAAAUGUAAAGAAGAUUGUUUGCCCUAAACCAUCAUAUCCUCGCCGUUACAAAAGACCAUUAAAGCUUUGGGCAAGAGGAUGAACAUUUGACCAAAGUUACUAAAUCAAGAAUCAAUGGGGCCAUCACCGCAUGAAACUCAUCAAUAAGCAGAAAGGCUAAGACUAAAACCAUAGAAUCGAAAGUGAAGCGUUCGAAAUCAGAUCACAGAGCCGUGAUCAAAUUGAAAAGCAUAAGAGGUAGGGGGCACAACCUCAUAGAUCCAAAGGAAGAAAGCUCGCUCCGUGGAUUAAAAAUUAAAAAUUAAAAAUUAAAAAUUAAAAAUGGAGACGAACAAGUAGAGAUUCGACGGGGCUAGCUAGGGCUCGAGGAUUCGAUUGGGGAUCCGAGAUCAAAGUCACGUGGGAGUUGCGGUCAACAAUAAAUCACGUUUUGAUGGUGCUUUCAACGUGGCACGUGAUCUCUCCACUUUUUUUUUUUUUUUUUUUAAAAGAAUGUUUAGGGACACUAAACUACAAAAGGAGGGAAACUAGUUUACAAUUGUGCCUUCAUAAUGUGAAUAUAGCUAUCAGCCUUAGAAACAGAAAGCAUUUGGAACCGACAAUUGAGCCACUUCAUUGCAGCAGGCUUUUUUACAUAUACGUAAACAUUCCAGGUUAAAAAAAAAGUAAACUAUCACAAUAUUGUACAGAACCAUUGUUUAUAUCUAUCUAUUUCACAAGCAUCUCCGAGUUCCAGUAACUAGACGUAGUGCAGUGGGUGGUGUAUGGAACAAGUUUCCUUAAUACACUAAUACGCAAGCAAAUCAUACGUUGAUCAAAUGCAAGGAAAAAAUAGGAAGAAAUAUGAAUUGGGUAUUACAUACCUUCCCUUCGAAUAGUGACACAUCAUACAACCUCUCUGAACAAAGAUUAUAAACCUUGUAUUUUUCCUACAAAAAAAAAGAAAUUAUAAGAAAGCAAUGUACUAACUAUACAAAUUCUUAGAGACAGAUUAGCUAGCAUUGACAUAAGAACAUCGAAAAUGCGGACUUAACUUUGCUAAGAAAUUAGUUGUACUACCUUGUGUUGAGUUUCAAGAAAGCUAAUAACUUCUUCCAUCUGGUUGCGGUAGAAACCCUGCAUUAAUGUUUAGAACAUUCAUUGGCUAGAUUUAACAUAAAACGAAUAUGGCACCAAAACUAAAACUAAAACUAAAACCAGGGUAACGAUUACAAGGUUACUAAUUGACUCACUUCGACAUAUCCAAAAAAGCCAGAACUCAUGUCACCAGCAGGAAACCCCAUUGCAAUAAUGUUCUCUGUUAUGUACGUCAGAUCCAAAUCAAACCCUCCUUCCUGAACCACAAACCAAGCAAAAGGAACCAAUUAAUUUCAGACAAGGAGCAAGCUAGCAUGGAAUAAACUGAGUAGUAAAAACACCUGGUAUCUUCUUUUGUUCUGGGACACGGCAUGGCGAGCCUUAACCUGUACAGCCUUGACAGCAUUCUUUGAUGUAUCCACCAAACCUUUCGUAAUCGUCCCAAUGAAACCGGGUUGUGAAGUUCCUUGGCCGGUCUCAUCAGGUUGAGGAGACAAACGAAGCCCUAACCCACUUGUAAAUUUCGCAAAGGCGGACUUUUCAUUAUUCUCAACAUCAGAAUCAGUUCUUGCGGAAGAAAAAGGCUGAGGGACUUUCAAACUUUUGGCCCAUGUUGAGAUCCCAGAGGCGGAUAGCUUUGAAGCUACCCCUUUAG
RNAcentral lists this long non-coding RNA (2274 nucleotides) under Brassica napus (rape). RNAcentral describes it as "long non-coding RNA (BNAP_LNC000752)". Lineage: Eukaryota; Viridiplantae; Streptophyta; Magnoliopsida; Brassicales; Brassicaceae. The record is from RNAcentral.